Molecule: long non-coding RNA, 1664 nt
Organism: Cryptotermes secundus
Lineage: Eukaryota; Metazoa; Arthropoda; Insecta; Blattodea; Kalotermitidae
Exons: 3
Source: RefSeq, a predicted model, not a curated record
UGUUUGCGACGAUGUCCGUUGAGGUGGUUGAACUUGUUUUAAGUGUUUCAGAGAGUGUGGCUUUGGCGGUUGAACUCUGUGAAGAUUUAAAUAAUCAUGUAUAGGAAGCGUAGAGAGUUUGACUUUCCCAGCUGCGAGGACGGUACUAAAUAUGAAGUACUGGAGAAAAUAGGAGAAGGCAGUUAUGGAUCUUGAUGGAUCCUGUGGUUGUUUAUGUGCCAAGAUGUGUUCAGAAUGGAUCGGUGUGUCUUGGAUUGGAAGCGCUGGAGGAUUUUGCUGUUGGAAUCGGUGGCUGCCCUCCAUAGCUGAAUUGCACAGAUCCAUAUGGGUUUGAGUACUGUUUUAUAUAGGAGGAGUUUGCUUUAGAAAGCCUAUUUUUGGCUAUACUUGUUUGUGCCUUUAAUUAGUAGAACAUAGUUCUUUCUAAUCUCAUCUGUAGAAAUGCUUGGACACUUUCCAUGACAGUGCUUUUAAUUGUUAGGCCUGAUGAAGUGUCAGAAUUCUGUAAUGGUUUUUUUGAGUGUUCAGUUUGCAUUAUGAGACUAAUCUUCAGAGGUCUUCUGUCUUACAAGUAAUGGAAAGUGUUGUUAGAUAAUCCACUUAGAAAAGGGUGGGGGUGAGUGGAGAAAGUAAAUAAAAGAGGAGCUCUUCUUUUGGUCGCAGUGGUUCCUCUGGCAUAUAGAGAACAGGUGCAUAUCACGAGCUUUUAGAGUUAAUAGGGACAUUUAUGAAUGAUUUGUGUAUGGUAUUCUGCUGUUGCUGUGUCGUGAUGGUCUAAGGCACGCAAACUGUAUCCCUGCCCCUAAAGAAAGAAAGAAAAAAAAAGGAGAGCAAAAUGUUGGCUUUAUUUCAGCAUAAACAUUUUCGUGGCAUUCUAAGGUAUGUAUAUUGAUAUCAUAAUGAAGCAUAAUUUAUAUUCCUAGAUUUAAUGGCUCAGCUGUUGCUGUUGUCCACUUAAAGAAGAAGUGGUAAUUCUUGUUUUCCUGCAUUACUGUUUGGAAAAUUAUGAAUAAAUAUAACAGUUUACAUAUGCCAUCUUUCCAGUAAGUUACUAACUAUAUAAUUUCUCUUUUCAGUGAGGUGUACAAAGCCAGGGACAAGAAGGCAGGCAAUAAAUUUGUGGCUAUGAAGAAAGUUCUAAUGCGGUCUGGAUACAAAAGAAGCAGAUAUUACUGAGGAGAGAAAAUGGAGAAAUGAUAAAAACAAGAGUGCUUGUAAAACCGGAAGGGAAAAGGAAGAAAAGUAGAUCAGGCAUGAGGAAUGAGAUGUUGUGGAGAAGGAUUUGAGGAACUUGGGUGUAGUUAACUGGAAAACCAGGAUUCACGCAGGGGAUGGCUGGAGAAAGUUUGUAGAGCAGUCGAAGACGAAGACCCACAAAGGGCUCUAGUGAAUAGUAAUAAUAAUUCAGUAUUUUUAAUACUUUGUUUUAAUAUUUUAAGACUCUUAAUAAGGUUUAGACAUUUGUUUUGGAUUUUGGAAUACAUCUAUAUAAUCUGUGUGUAUGAAGGUGAAUUGAAAAGUGACAGAAGCACAUCACAUUUUUCCAUUUUAUUUUGUAAAGACUCAGUUGUACACAGUAGAGUGUGAGUGAGUUAUUUGGUGAAUUGUUGUGUCUGGCAGGAAUUGGUACAGAAAUUUAUAUAUAUACAGUCAACUCUCGAUUA